UUACUAAGCUUUGAAAUAUUGUCAUUACGCAAAAAUUAAAGUACGUAGAAUUUUAUGGUACCGACGGUAUUUGAGAGCCCCCACCUUUUCCCAAAGUAAACUUAAUUCAAAGAUGGAAACUCGAAAAAAAAAUUCUUAAUUCGUACUGAUAACAUAUAAAUGUAAAAGUAAAAUGUAUUAGGUAUAUUCAGUAUUUGGGAAAUAAGUACUGAAUACGUAUAGAAAUAGAAGAUGUAAUAAUUUUUUUGCUUUACCUGUCUGUCUAAUUUCGUGGGUUCCUUGGGAGGUAGAAGGUUUGGUCGAUGAUAAAGGAGUAAUGUGACGUUUAUCUAAUCCUAAACGUUAUUAGACAUGAUCAAGACUGCGUUUCUCAACUCGGCAGGCAAAAAAUGGAAUAACAGUGAAAGUAGUAUCAAUUUAAUGCACAUCGCCGUAUCUUUUACUGCAGGUAAAAACGACGUUCACGGUGGCCGACUUCAGGUGAAAAUCGCGUCCGCCCUCUGUCGUAUUUGUUCGUUAAAAAUCGGAAGUGUUCGUUAGCCAUGGCAUGUUGGUAAGUCCGUCAGUUCAGGUAAACGUUGGUCGUGGUUUAGGUGUGUUGUUGAAUGUUACGCUCGUAUGUGUUUAAUAAAAUCAUAGUUGAUAUUCGUCGAGACCAUUUUUACGUAUUAACGGCUUAUUUUUUACAAUUCGACUAUUCGUUUUCGUUUUUUUACUUGUUUCCAUUAAUUAUUCAUGUCGGUUUUAUAUGAUCGCGUAUAGUGUCUCUCGAACUCGCGUUGUUUAGCAUUUUUCUUUCAACCGAACAACUUUACUAAAAAUGUAGUGUAUGAUUAACAUGUGACUCCUUGGCUUUUUUUCUAAAAGCCUCAGUGCAAUGUGCUGUUUAGGUUGUGUGGAUUGGAAAAUGUCUGAAGUCCCAUGGGCCGCAUAUUCACGUACAUGUCUUUGAGAAUUUUGCAAUUGGCACACGUGAUGUCGGAAUGGGGCUCAGCAGCAAAAGGCUCUCCUAGUAGUGCAGCCAUAGCCCUGGUACCUAUUAAUAUACUUCAAUAUCACUUGCAAGCACUAACAACUGGACUCCAACAAUUUCUUACCAGAUUUUCAGGUCGAAGACGGCUUCAUAGCCACUUAUUAUAUGGUUGGCCACCAUGGACAUUAAUAGUUUUAGUAUUUUCUUCGUUAUUAAGUAUUACAGGUAAGAUUUGUAAAUUUAUUUAUCAGAGAACUAUUGCAGUUCGAAUAUUUAAUGUACAUAUUUAAAUUUUAACUUUCAUUAUUGAUUGUAUUCCUCAUGAUCGUUUAGGAAAUAAAGAUUAUUGAGGGGUAUCGAACACUAAUAUUUUAAAUAACUCGUUAUAACUUCAGAUCAUUGAUUCCUCACAGAUUUUAUUCUUGACGAAGGUUGUAUCGGGCGAAACAAUGGUAUUAAACGGUAUCGUCAAUAUCAAUACAUAAAAGCGUCCAAAAAUAGCAAAAAGUCUUAUCGAAAAACAUUUUAAUCGGCUAGUAUUGUGUCUGUGGCAUCCCGACGUUGGCGGCGUCCGGCGUUCUCUUGUUGCUGGAUUAUUGCCAAGGUGACGCCGCGUGCAUGCCAAGGUACGCUGUCUGGGACGUACCGGCAAGGCGACCGGCGUCGGGACGCGCUAUUUUCUAUUUAUCCGAACAUAUUUCAAUUUAUUUCCUCUUCACAAAAAUUUCAGUUGUAUGGUUAAUAAUAAUACCGUUUGCGUACAUAUUUGGCUUAGGAAUUACAAAAACUAUUAUUAGAAUGUCUUCCGUCUCUGAGAGCGGUGCGCAUGCGCGUGAGGACGUUUCUACUUCUGCCUCAUCAUAAAGCAAGCGACAACCGCGUACGAUUUGUGCGAGCGAUCUGGUGGUACUGUGCGCGGAAAAAUCAGCUAGCUGUACUUGAAUUAAAUAAAAAAUAGCACGAAAAUAAGAAUAUCAAACACUCGUGUGAUAUCUACACAAUAUUAUAAUACUAUAUGUAUAAUAGAACGAAAUCGGUACAUGAAACAAUCCAAAUGAAUUGUUCAGCUCACUCGUUAGUUUCCUACAAUACAGUAUGCAGUACAGUUUCACAAGUAUGUUUUAUAGUUAAACCGCAAGAAACAUUGAGCAAAAUAUUUUCUAAGGAUUCUUAGGAGCAUUGUAUUUCUUUAUAUGGGGAAUUAUUCACAUGGUUCAAUUCAACAAUACCUAGUAUUAUACGGUUUGUCUACUAAAUUGUACAUAUGAUAGUGAGAACAAAUUCAUUAAAAAUACGGUCAUGGAUUUUCCGACCGAUCGUCAAAAUUUUUAUUUUUAAUAUGCAUAAGAUGACUAAGAAAUUGAAUUUUUUAGUGAAAACUACUUUCACUCUUGCACAUUUGAAAUAAAGUGCAUUUAGGUCCAAAUCGGCAUCCUAAGUUCAUUCAAAAAGAGUGCGCGAUGAUUGACCGAACAAACGGCCCUGCGAGCAUGCUGUUUACUUGUUGUUGCGAGGAAGGUCCUCUACUAGUAAUUAAUUAAUUAUUUAUCUUUUUUAUAAACAAUAAGACAAUU
This is a long non-coding RNA of Agrilus planipennis (emerald ash borer), 2547 nucleotides long. RefSeq lists it as uncharacterized. The transcript has 3 exons. The record is from RefSeq and is a predicted model, not a curated record. NCBI's taxonomy places the organism in Eukaryota, Metazoa, Arthropoda, Insecta, Coleoptera, Buprestidae.